Ctenopharyngodon idella (grass carp) is the source of this 10998-nucleotide long non-coding RNA. RefSeq lists it as uncharacterized. The record is from RefSeq and is a predicted model, not a curated record. Lineage: Eukaryota; Metazoa; Chordata; Actinopteri; Cypriniformes; Xenocyprididae. The transcript is spliced from 4 exons.
UUAAAGCUGACCUUCUCACCAAGGAAUGGGUAAGUCUGGUUUAAUUGUUUAAUGGUAUAAUAUUCAGAUCUCCUCAGGGAUGGAAGGGAAAAUUUCUGAAAAGAGUGAUGCAUUGUUUGCUUUAUGGAGCAAAAAAUUUGAGUCUACCUUGUGCAAACUCAAGAAACAAUAUAUUGGGAUUAAAUGUUAAGAUGAUGAAGUUAUGCGGCUGCGUGAUGUGACCACACAUCUAUUUUCAAGUAUACAGUGGGUACGGAAAGUAUUCAGACCCCCUUAAAUGUUUCACUCUAAUGAUUUGCUAAAAUCAUUUAAGUUCAUUUUUUUUCCCUCAUUAAUGUACACACAGCACCCCAUAUUGUCAGAAAAACACAGAAUUGUUGACAUUUUUGCAGAUUUAUUAAAGAAGAAAAACUGAAAUAUCACAUGGUCCUAAGUAUUCAGACCCUUUGCUCAGUAUUUAGUAGAAGCACCCUUUUGAUCUAAUACAGCCAUGAGUCUUUUUGGGAAAGAUGCAACAAGUUUUUCACACCUGGAUUUGGGGAUCCUCUGCCAUUCCUCCUUGCAGAUCCUCUCCAGUUCUGUCAGGUUGGAUGGUAAACGUUGGUGGACAGCCAUUUUUAGGUCUCUCCAGAGAUGCUCAAUUGGGUUUAAGUCAGGGCUCUGGCUGGGCCAUUCAAGAACAGUCACGGAGUUGUUGUGAAGCCACUCCUUCAUUAUUUUAGCUGUGUGCUUAGGGUCAUUGUCUUGUUGGAAGGUAAACCUUCGGCCCAGCCUGAGGUCCUGAGCACUCUGGAGAAGGUUUUCGUCCAGGAUAUCCCUGUACUUGGCCGCAUUCAUCUUUCCCUCGAUUGCAACCAGUCGUCCUGUCCCUGCAGCUGAAAAACACCCCCACAGCAUGAUGCUGCCACCACCAUGCUUCACUGUUGGGACUGUAUUGGACAGGUGAUGAGCAGUGCCUGGUUUUCUCACACAUACCGCUUAGAAUUAAGGCCAAAAAGUUCUAUCUUGGUCUCAUCAGACCAGAGAAUCUUAUUUCUCACCAUCUUAGCAAACUCCAUGCGGGCUUUCAUGUGUCUUGCACUGAGGAGAGGCUUCCGUCGGGCCACUCUGCCAUAAAGCCCCGACUGGUGGAGGGCUGCAGUGAUGGUUGACUUUCUACAACUUUCUCCCAUCUCCCGACUGCAUCUCUGGAGCUCAGCCACAGUGAUCUUUGGGUUCUUUUUUACCUCUCUCACCAAGGCUCUUCUCCCCCGAUAGCUCAGUUUGGCCGGACGGCCAGCUCUAGGAAGGGUUCUGGUCGUCCCAAACGUCUUCUAUUUAAGGAUUAUGGAGGCCACUGUGCUCUUAGGAACCUUAAGUGCAGCAGAAAUUUUUUUGUAACCUUGGCCAGAUCUGUGCCUUACCACAAUUCUGUCUCUGAGCUCUUCAGGCAGUUCCUUUGACCUCAUGAUUCUCAUUUGCUCUGACAUGCACUGUGAGCUGUAAGGUCUUAUAUAGACAGGUGUGUGGCUUUCCUAAUCAAGUCCAAUCAGUAUAAUCAAACACAGCUGGACUCAAAUGAAGGUGUAGAACUAAUUAUUAUUAUUCUUAUUAUUAUUAUAUGAAACACUAUACUUGGAAACAUACUGCGAAAUCAAAAUGACUGAUUUCACACAAUAAAUCAAACUACAUUUUUACAUUUUCAAAAGGAAAUGUAAAUACUGAAUACAUAUACACUACUAAUAAUAGUUGUAAAUAAAUAAAUAAAUACUACUAUUUCAUGAAGUUCCUUUAGAUUUUAAUUCAUUUCAAUUUAGUGAGGAGAAACAACAAAGACACUGAACUCUUCAUGGUUUGUGAAAAGAUGCUGUGAGAGCACCAUGUCGGUCAAAACUGUAAACACAAAAUUAAGUGCAAUUCACCUUUAUUCCACAAGGUGGCAAUGUCUGAUACACAAUGCUGAAGUGACGACUCAUUCAGACAGAAAACGAAAUAAUAAAAAAAACAUGAAAUGGCUCAGUGAUUUACUGCAGAACAAGUACUAAACGCAAUCAAAUAUGACUGUCACUGUGAAGCUGUUAGCGAUCGAAAUAUUGAUUUUGAAGAUGUUGAAAAUUAUAUAGUUCUGAGAAUAGGUUUGAGAUCGCGAAUGGGCUCACAUUUGCGACCUCAAACAUAAAACUAGCCUAUUAUUUGCUGAAUUUACUGGGAAAUGAGCUCUGACGAGGACAGUGAUGAUGGCAUAAAACAUCUGCUCAAACUGAGCCCUUUCAAGCUCCAAAAGGUAACAAAAUAUGAUUUAUUUUAUUCUUCUGUAAUUGCUACUCUAAUAUCAGAGGAGUUUUAUAUUAUUGCGACAGGUAGAGAUCCUUCCGUGUUAGAUAUAGAGCCGGGUCAAUAAAUACCCGAAUAUGUAAGAAUGAUUGGCGAAACAGUCAUGCAUUUAAGGGUUAACUGAGGUGCCCUUGAGCAAGACACUGAACCCCCAAUUGGCUGCAGCAAAAAUGACACUGCUGCUGCCAGCCUGUGUCUGCCCAACAGUGGAUCCAGGUGCCAUAGCCUCUGUUGGUAAUCAGCAUCAAUGAGCUGUAGAUGACACACGGUUUGUUAUUUAGCCAUCCAUGUACCAAUUUUGAUACAGACUACAGCGGCAUGUGAACAACCGACAAGGUGCGCUGGUUCUAAGACCAAAGUUCAGAGACGUGUAUUUUACGAACACCCUCUAGUGGAAGAUUAAAAUAAUUCUGAUCAAUUUAAGUGUCAUUUUCCUUGUAUAGCAGGGGUGUCCAAUAUUGUUCCUGGAAGACUAGUGUCCUUCAGAUUUUGGUCCCAAACAUAAAAAUACAUGUCUGAAGAUGUUGAUUAUACUAUUAAUCCAAGAUGCUGGCAUGGACAGACUGAGCAGCUACUCUGGGUUCUAAAGUCAGUGCUUUUAUGUUGUUUAGUCUUGUCCCCCUUGUCCAAAUAGUCUUUCUUUACAACAAAAUCUUCAGGUAAUCACAUCUACCAACACAUGAACUUUGAAACAAGGGGAAACAACACAUUGGACCUGGUUUACACAAUGGAGAAAAAUGCAUACAAAUCUGUACUCAGUCCCCUCCCCGGGUACGAUCACAUCUCUGUUAUGCUAAUUCCAGCAUACAGACCACUUCUCAAACUUGCCAAACUGGUUCAAAACAGAUCACAAUAUGGCCAGAUGUUGCCGUCUCAACACUCCAGGACUGCUUUCUGUACACAGACUGGAACAUGUUCAGAGAGGCAGCCACCUACAACAAUCACAGACCUUUGUGGAAGAAAUUUAAAUUUUAACUUUAAUUUUAAUUAAUCAUAACUAACAUUUAUUUCCUUACAGGGAUAACAUUUAUGUUUGAUAACAUUUAUGUUUGAUAACAUUUAUAUAUGGUUUGGUAAUGUAUGUCUCUAACACUUGGUCAGAAUUACUGUGUGUGUCUGAAAAUAACAAAAGGAGAAGUAAAACUAGGCAGGUGUCUAGUUUUGUUAUGAAUGACCAACCUCUUGAUCAAGCUAUUCAGAUUUGCUCCUACUAAGAAUUACAAAGAAUUAUACAUAUGUGGAACCAAUCAAAUUAUGUAAUGAAUCGUCACCUUUACCAUGUUGCAUUCAUAUCAGCAGAUGAAGCAACCCAUAAAACAGCACGAACCUAUCUGUCAAUCGAGCCUUCCAGGAGCACAAUUGGACAGCCUUGUUAUAUAGAGAAGAUGAAACCUGUAUGAUCUCUCAGUAUCAGGCACUGUAACCUCCACUAGGUGGCGCUCUUUCAGUGUGAUAAAUGUAAUAUUCAGGCAGUGCUGAUGGUGGGAGGGGCCAGUAAAGCUGCUCAUUACUGAUAAAGAGCUGAAUAAAGAGGAAGUAACUAAAGCAGACAGAUGUAGACAGAGAGAUUCACACAGAGAACAUUCAGCAUAAAGAAGACUGAACUCAACUCACAAUGAAGAUCCUCCUCAUCUUCUUCACUUUCUACCUGAUCUCAGGUCAGAGCUUUUCUCUUUCAUCACUGCAGUAAUGAUGCUGUUUUCUGUUCAUGAGGUUUCUGAUCACAGUAUCAAUCUGAUUGACAGGUGCAGUGAGAUGCUUUAGUGUCACUGGAUAUUCUGGAGGAAGUCUUCUUGUUGAUUCUGGGGAGGUUUGGUACAGUGCAAAUGUUAAAUCCUUUAAGAAAUUACCUGAGUGGAGAAGUAUAAUGAAUGAUACGAAACAUGAAAAAUGGAUCAAUGAUGGAAGAUUCACAUUGUUUGGAAAUAAUGAGGGAAACCUUAUGAUCUAUAUCAGAAAUCUGAACAAACAUGAUGCUGGAGGAUACUGGAUUGGUGUUCUUUACAAGUGGGGUAUAGAUAUGACUUUAAAUGUGGAAGAAGAUUCAUGUUGUAACACGUCAAAGAGAGAGAUGGUGAAUAUUGGACAAACUGCCACAUUCAGCUGUGAAUAUUCACAGAAUCAUAUUAAUGAUCCCAAGAUCAUAUUCAAAGAAAGAAAAGAUUCCAUUGAGACGAUUUACAGCAUAUGGAAGAACAAAGAAAGAUUCAGUAUUUCUGAUGACAGACACAAAAAUCUCUUCCAUGUGAGAAUAAUUGCUGUGAGACCAGAUGAUGGAGGAGUUUAUUUAUGUGGAGUUUGGAUCAGAGGACAAUCGUACAGUUACUCCGUUAUUAAUACUGUUCAUCUACAUGUUAGCAUGGCUCCAGUAGUGAGACGUGAAGGAGAAUCUGCUGAGAUCAUCUGCCCUUAUGAUUCAAUCUAUAAAUCAAAGUCAAAGUCUCUCUGUAAGGGGAAGUGCUCCACUAGAGAUAGAAAUACUCUCAAUGAAGAGAAAGAGACCAAGACUGACAGAUUGACUCUGAAUGAUGACGUGACUGCAAGUGUCUUCACUGGGACCAUCACUGGACUGACAGCAGAGGAUGCUGGGAAAUACUGGUGUGCAGUGACAUUAGAGAGAGACGUGAAUUAUCUUUACACUCAUCUGAUCGUCAUCAUGAACGAGGGUGAGGAAGGUUUAUCAUCUGAAUAUGUGAAACUAUGGCUGUGAAUUGAUGUUCUUAUAUUUCUAAUCAUUUCCAGAGCUGAACUUGACUAAGUAUGAAGGAGACGACAUGUCAAUCCAGUGCAAACAUCAUGAUGAACAUCAGAAACUCUUCUGCAAAGCACAUGAACCCUCCAUGUGUGUGAAGGAUGGAGUUUCAUUGAGACGAUCAGAGAUGAUCGAUUCUCUUUCAGUGAUGAAGCUUCUACUGGAGUCUUUACUGUAAACAUCACUGAUCUGAGAGAAGAGGAUUCUGGGAUAUACUGGUGUGGAGCUCACAUCACCACUAAAGUCAGUCUCUCUGUAAAACAGGAUUUCUCUUUGUUCAACAUUAUUUCUUUGUGUUCGACUCUGCUGCUGAUUGGAGGAUUCACUGUGACUGAGUGUUUAUUAAGAUGAGGUGAUGCUGUCCUUCAUAAACACACAAAUGAGAACAGACAUUUUAUGUUUAAUAUCAAGCUACAGACUAAUCCUAAAAACUUUAUGAAUAGUCUUUUUUUUUAAUGAGGACAUUUUAAAAUGUCUUCAAAGGGACUUUUUGUCAGAUGCAUCUCACUGUUGUUCAUUUCAGAUGUGUUGAUAUCUUAGGCAUGAGCUCAUCAUCAGACAAGACAAUGAAGUAGUGUCUCUGUCUCUUCAUGCACUGACGUUCUUGUGUGUUUUUGUCUGUGAGUUUAACUCUGUACGUUAUGUUUUUCUCUUGCUUAAUCUCAGAUUGCACAUUCACACUCAGGGUGCUUUCACACUGGUUGUUUAGUUCGAAAUGGGGCACGGUUUGAAAGAAAAAUUGGUUAUGUGAAGACUUGUGGUCUGAGUUUGAUUGCACUGGAACUGUUGCAUGAAUCAUGUGAAUGUAAACUUGGACGCAUGUAUUUUAGCUGGUGAUGACGUCAUUAGUAAGGGAUGACUCUGGCGAUGAUUUUCCUUGGAUAUGAGUGACAGUGAGCCUGCGGUGUAAUCACUGAUAGUGAGUGCAAUCGGAGUGGCAAAUGAAAGGUUCCAAAUCCGCUGUCUCCUCAAAAGAGUCCGUCUUCAUGCAACACACAUACAGUAAACCCAAGUGUUGUUCACUCUGCUACAUAUUAACAAAAAAAAGAUUGGCAUGUGUCCUGUUUUCUACCAUGAGGCAUGCAUGAUUGUGGUUAUAUAAGAUAAAAGAAAGCAAACAUGCCCAUUGUGAAAACCCCUCAGAUUCUAGAGCAGAUUCGUGUUAUUACUCUCCUCACCUUCCCACAAUCCCCUUUGAUCUACAAUAGCAUUUCAUGGCUUAUAACUUACCCAUAAUCAACCUCUGAUGGCGUCACACAUAAAAUUUCCAGAUGCAUGAAGAUCCUACAGACUCCUUCAGAAGUGUGGGGAUUUCCUCUGUCAGUUACUGUAACUGAAUGCACUGACGAGAUCACAGAUGAGAUCACAGAUCAUCACAAAUGACCAACAUUUCAGCUUUACCCUUGUCAAACAAAGUAUUAUUCUGCAAAUCAGACAAUUUGUUUAUCAGUAAUUGGAUAAAAGCUGCUUUUUAUUUUAUUCUUCAAAGUGUAACCCGUUCGGUCCUAAUUGCCGCACUCUUAGCGGGACUCGAACCCAGGUCGCUGGCAUGGGAUGCGGGCACACUAACAAAGAUGUUAAAGAAUGCAAGCUGUAGUACCUUUUGCAAUCAGGAGAGUGAGGUUUACCUACACACCUCUCACUAGCCAGCCUCUGUUACUUUCAACCCCCUAAAUAUCACUCCCAUCCGGGUCACAGCAAAAAUGUAACCCUUUCGGUCGGGGCUCAAACUCGAACCUGUGUCAGGUGCGCUAACAAGGACGUUAAAGACUGCAGUCUCUAGCGUCGGUCACUAAUGUGCCCCUUGAGAUCAGUGAGCUUUACUUGCACAGCUCUCAAUAGCUGGCCUCCGUUACACUCAGCCCCCUAAACUUAACACCUAUUCCGGUCACGGCACCAAUGUAACCUCUCCGGACAUACUCACACCGCUCAAGCAGGCCUCAAACCCGGAUCGCCAGCAUGGAAGAUGGGCAUGCUAACAAGGAUGCUAACGACCAGAGUCUCUAGUAGGGCUGCACAAUUAAUUGAAUUUCUAAUCACGAUUACGAUUACAGAUGCCACAAAAACACCAGCACCUGCCAUUUUUAAAAGCUAUGUACACUAUGGUACACAGCUCACUCCACGGACUAACUCUACCAACAUCGGAAACAGUGAUAGGUGGACCUCUCAACCUUAUGCUAAGGAGAAAAUCCAGCGCGACUUUGAGCGGACCAAGCAAAACAUGAUUAUGUAUUUCUGCUUAGCUAUUGAUACUGGGCAUUAACCACAUGGCAAUAGCUAAUAAUUUUCAUAUACUGUCUACUUUCUUUGUAUAACAGUUCUAUAUAAUAACGUAUUAGACAGGACUGUAAAACAGAUCGUAAACUAAUGAAGACGGAGAAUGCAAGCACUGUGUGCUCAGGCUCUGGCUGAGCUGUUCUCAGCACCGUCAAAAUAAAAGUAACAACAACAAGCACAGUUUACGUCACUUCAGAGUUCCUACUGGCAACCAGUAAAAUGGCCCUAGGGGAACAUUAGUUCUUGGGGAAUCAUCCUGGUGGCUAGUGCCUAUAACUAAGUUCCUAGAAUAAUAUGGUGCGAAAGCCCCUAUUAUUUUUACAUGCAUAUGUUUACUUUUUUUUUUUUUUUUGUAAAGAAACCAAACCAAACCAAUGUUUGAGUUUUUUCAGCUAGUUUUUUAUUUUUUCAUAAAAAUAUGGCAUGCAGCUGCUUCAAACAAUGGUAAAAAGCUAUUUAAAACAUCAUUCAAGGUAAUUGUAAUAAUCAUAAUUAAUAAUUACUAUUACAAUUUCAAGAGAAUCAUCGACAAUUAGAUUUUUGUCCUAAUCGUGCAGCCCUAGUCUCUAGUGUGCCUCUUGAGAUCAGGGGAGUGAGGUUUACCUGCACAGCUCUCACUAGCUGGCCUCUUUUACAAUUACCCACUAAACCUCACUCCCAUCCGGGUCACGGCACCAAUGUAUCCCCUCCAGUCCAAUCUGUCUCGCUCUGAGCGAAACUCUAACCCGGGUCACCGGGAUGGGAGGCGGGCACGCUAACAAGAAUGUUAAAGACUGCAGUCUCUAAUGUUAGUCACUAGUGCGCCUCUUGGGUUCAGGGGAGUGAGGAUGACCUACACAGAUCUCACUAGCUGGCCUUCGUUAGAAAAGCAACAGUCUCUGAAUACCUUUGCCACAAAGUGUUUGUAAAAAUGCAAGAUUAGUGUUUUUUUGUGUGUGUUUAUGUAAUAAACAGGCCAUUUUCCUUCCAGCUCAAAGCCACCAGAAAAAAGAAGAAGGUUAAGAGACCUACUCCGGAAACCCACAGUGAGACACAUGAGACUGAACAGAAAGUGACAGAAGAUCAACAUCAUUUGUGGGCAGAAGACAAUAAAGACUAAAGCUGCAUUUACACUUUGUCACUGCAUGAUGCCAGUGGCUGGCAGUGAGGUCGCUAGCAGACAUUACUACUACUGGUUGCUUAGUAAUGUUUGUGAAUGACAUUCACAGAUGUUAUUUCAUGUUGUAGAUAAUGAAUCCAUUUUCUUUCCACUAAAAACAGCAUGUGCUUUUUGCAAUUACAGCUGUUUAUCUGUGGCAAAAAAAAGAAAAAAAAAAGCAAAGCAGUAGUCUAUCUGGGUUCACAAACCCUGGGAAGUUGCUGACCGCAGUUUCUGAUGUUGUUGUGAUGUUGUAAGGAACCCCGCAUUGGCCCAAAAACGGAAUCCGACGGCCUGGGCGAAGGUUAACGCGUGUAUGUCUUUUCAGCGCCUCUGUGAAGUUAACUUAAUUUCACUCAUUUAAUCUGACUCCAAUUUCAAAUGAUUAUUACUCUUAGGUUGUGUUCCCAAUUAGAAAUUAAUCAUUUGUUAUGUAUUAAUUUAGAUUUUUGAUUAUUCCGGGUAUCUCAUAUUUUCAAUUAUUCGUUCAUUACGGACCCAUAUCACUUAGAAAAGUCACUUCGGCUGGUGAGUGCCUUUCACGAUCACAAACUCGCCAGUUCUGAUCUUAGUCAGAGGGUGCAGAGUUUACUAAUGCAUUUGAGUCGAACCGCCACAUGCUUGUUCAUACAAAAACACAGUUUUCUUAGUCACGAUACUGCAACUUGCUAAGCCAGUUGAUAGACAAAAAUCAAAAAGUCCCAUGAUGUGCUAACAUGCUCCUUUCAUGGGCCUUUAGUUUGAAUCUAUCCUGACGCAGAUUUGCAGAAAUAUGGACUCCAAUAAUCUACUGGUCAUAACGAUUUCAGAAGAAUCCAGAGUAAAUCAAAUAUAACAUUUUAUUUGUCAAGUAAAAAUGUAUCAUGCCAAUUACAUAGUUGGACAAUUAGAAGCCAAUUCAGAAAUAAUAAAUGCAUAACAUCAAUUACUCAAAGAAAUGCAUGUACACACAGUGAUGUGUGAGUGUCUUCAGACAUUCAACCAUCUCUGCACGGGGGCUUCUGGCUACAGAUGAUCCCCCAUGACUUUAUAUACAGACCAGACAAAAGGGUUGUAAAUAUUUAUUACACCAACACCUGUUUUGGGGAGAGGAGUGGGUGUUUCAACACCCAAAAGGAGGACAGAAUUCUCCUUAGUUUUCAAUCUUCUUCAUAAUACCAGUGACUGCUGUGAAAUUGAGACCAUUUUACCAAUCGCACUGAGACAUUUAAAAUGAUACCAAACAUGAAAGGAAAAAGCAAUAGAUACACCAGAAACAUUAUACUUCUUGGAGAACUUUCAGUGACUUGAGUCAGGGGAAAAGGAAGGAGGGUGUGUGUGUGUGUGUGUGUGUGUGCGUGUGUGUGUGUGUGUGUGUGUGUGUGUGUGUGUGUGUGUUGGGGGGAGGGCUGUUGCAUCCUGUAGAUGUGUGAGGGCAAGGCGUUGUCCUAUGCUAUUUAUUUGAGAUCUUCUCUCCAGAUGAGUUUUAUUGCUUUAUUGCAGGGUGCUUGAUCUCAGUUUUUGUCUUAGCAAGAAAAUCAAGUCUUACAAUGUUAUGGGUGACAUCAUGAUCAGAUAGCACACAGAUGACAAUCUUUUUUAUGAAUAUCUCAUUAAGUUUCUCAUGAAUUCCAGAGGUGUUACAGUGUUGAACAUCGUUUUUUUCCCCCCCAUCCAGAACCACAGAUAUCUACUGUUUUUCUGAUACACUUUUUGAUUUUACAGAAAAAUAAUAACCAAAUCCAACAUAAGUAUACUGUCUGUUAUUUAAAAUAUUCUUGUAAACAUUCAAAAACAACUCCAUGAGGGAAAUAGUUGAGUCUCACUGUGACUGACCAUCAUCAAAUCUUGUCCUUUCUGAAGGCAAAUGAAGCGUCACCAAGAGAAAAUUAAACAAACUUCUGGAAAUUAAACAAAACCUGAUUCCAGAAUCUGAAAGAAAGCGAUGAGUUUGGUGCACAAAGAAUGAAUGAAUUAGAGUGUCUUGUGUGUUAAAAAUAAAUAUAACAUUAAUAUAAAGACUGUCCCCUUUUGUGUAGGUUUUGGUUUUAUUGUCUUUGCAAAACAUGCAUGAUCACACUUGUAAUAAUGGCUUUAAUGAGCUCAUUGUUUCUGCCUAAAAAUAAUUAAUGUUAGAUAACAUGAUUUGUAUUAUCUCGAACUGUUCAUUUCUGAAAUGGACAUUACUUGGACACAGUCACGCUGCUAACAGAUCUGAACCAUGACCCCCAAAGUCUGGUUCGUUUGACUAGUGUGAUCGCUCUGUACCGUGCCUGCAAUUUAAUUGAAUCUUAGUCUUUCUCAUCUGUAGAUAUCUGCACACACAUUCCACUUCAGCAACCUAUUUCUGUUUCUUUUCAGUCUCAUGUUUCUCACUUUGAGUUUCCUAAACAGCUCUGUUUUUUUCUUCACAACCAAACUAAACUUAGACCCUGAAACUGUGUUCUUUUACUAGGUCAAAGAGACUUGCUUGUAAAAUGUCUUUGUGUUUGCAGGGUUGUUUGAUACUGUGGUCAAUGUGAUAAAGAUCAACAACAUG